Molecule: long non-coding RNA, 1161 nt
Organism: Alligator mississippiensis (American alligator)
Lineage: Eukaryota; Metazoa; Chordata; Crocodylia; Alligatoridae
Exons: 3
Source: RefSeq, a predicted model, not a curated record
GCGGAGGCCGCGAACGGGGGCAAAGAAACAGAAAAGCUCCCUGGUCCGGCCUGAACCUCACACACCCCCUCGGCGCGGCGCGGCCUCCGCUGCCUCCGUUAGCGGCUCCGUCUGGGGGGCGUUAACGCGGGGACCUUGGUUUCCCCUGUGCUCGCAGCGUCACACAGCGGGUGUUUUUUUUUUCCUUCCUCUUUUUUUUUUUUUUCCUUUCUUUCCCUCGUUAUUUUAUGUAUUUAGUUAGUUAUGUUAUCUGUUUCCUCCUUCCUUCCUUCCUUUUUUCCUUUAAACAUAAGAGAGCAAACCCCGGAAUUCAGGCAACUUACAUCAACAAAUUGGCCCAUGUGAUUUUAGCAUGAAGAAAAAAAAUUACAAAAAAGAAAACUAGAGAAGUUUAAGGGAAGAAGAAUGUUGCAGUCGGUUAAAAAACGGGAAGGAGAGAAAGGAAGAAAGAAGAAACAGAAACCAGGAAAGAACCAAAGAACCAGAAAGAGAGAGAGAAAGAGAGAAAAAGACCCAGCCCCACGCGCCCGCUGGAAGGUCAAAGGUCUCAGCUGAAGUCUUUGGGAGCUACCGUAAUACCACUAACGACACCCCCAUCUCCAACUGGCAAGUGCUACCACCGGGCUGUUAAUACAAGGCAUGCUGUACCAGACACCACCCCACCUCACCGUACCGUAAGUGCUCCUUAUAAAGCGCACACCACACGGGGGACCCCAGUCUCAGCGUGAGUUAUAAGCGGGGUGGGGGGUCCAUCAAGGGGCUCCCAUAAUGUUACUAAUGAAGUGCACACCAUAACAGAGACCCUGACCCCAGACUGGCCAGCAGGGUAUGGGCGCUACUGUAACACCACUAAUAAAGUGCACUCUGUAAUGCAGACCCCGAUUCCGGACUGGGGGUGCUACCAUAAUGACUCUAAUAAGGUGCACUCCAUGACACGGACCCUGGCCCCAAGCUGAGUAUAUGAUCGUUACCGUAAUACCACUAAUAGACAGCAUUAUAAAAUGGAGACCCCCGAUGGCAGUAGUGGGGGAGGGGGUGCUGGCGAUUACCGUAAUACUACUGAGGAAGCACAGCUGGAAGCAGGCCAGGCGCCAAGGCAGGGAAGGGCCCGCGGGGCUGACGGGUGUGACAGAUGCUGUGCAUGGCUCCAGUGGUGGGGGA